AGUGAACGCUGGCGGUAGGCCUAACACAUGCAAGUCGAACGGCAGCACAGUAAGAGCUUGCUCUUACGGGUGGCGAGUGGCGGACGGGUGAGGAAUACAUCGGAAUCUACUUUUUCGUGGGGGAUAACGUAGGGAAACUUACGCUAAUACCGCAUACGACCUACGGGUGAAAGCAGGGGAUCUUCGGACCUUGCGCGAUUGAAUGAGCCGAUGUCGGAUUAGCUAGUUGGCGGGGUAAAGGCCCACCAAGGCGACGAUCCGUAGCUGGUCUGAGAGGAUGAUCAGCCACACUGGAACUGAGACACGGUCCAGACUCCUACGGGAGGCAGCAGUGGGGAAUAUUGGACAAUGGGCGCAAGCCUGAUCCAGCCAUACCGCGUGGGUGAAGAAGGCCUUCGGGUUGUAAAGCCCUUUUGUUGGGAAAGAAAAGCAGCAGGUUAAUACCCCGCUGCUCUGACGGUACCCAAAGAAUAAGCACCGGCUAACUUCG
This 490-nucleotide ribosomal RNA is filed under the name uncultured bacterium. RNAcentral describes it as "partial 16S ribosomal RNA". It matches the Rfam family "Bacterial small subunit ribosomal RNA", at positions 29 to 505 of the family's 1533-position model. The record is from RNAcentral.